GGUUAAGUUAAUAAGGGCGCACGGUGGAUGCCUUGGCACUAGAAGCCGAAGAAGGACGUGACAAACGACGAAAUGCUUUGGGGAGCUGUAAGUAAGCGCUGAUCCAGAGAUGUCCGAAUGGGGGAACCCACUAACUAAUGGUUAGUAUCCAUAACUGGUUAAGGUUAUGAGAAGGAAGACGCAGUGA
Molecule: ribosomal RNA, 187 nt
Filed under: Streptococcus canis
Lineage: Bacteria; Bacillati; Bacillota; Bacilli; Lactobacillales; Streptococcaceae
Description: partial 23S ribosomal RNA
Rfam family: Bacterial large subunit ribosomal RNA
Source: RNAcentral